RNAcentral lists this transfer RNA (81 nucleotides) under Paragonimus westermani. Its description in RNAcentral is "tRNA-Asn". It matches the Rfam family "tRNA". Rfam says of the family: Transfer RNA (tRNA) molecules are approximately 80 nucleotides in length. The record is from RNAcentral. Lineage: Eukaryota; Metazoa; Platyhelminthes; Trematoda; Plagiorchiida; Troglotrematidae.
GGUUUUGUAGCUCAGUUGAUACAGAGCUUGUCGUGUUGAGGCAUGCUGUGCCCAUCACUGGUUCGAAUCCAGCCGAAACCC